UACGGGGGGGGCAAGCGUUGUUCGGAAUUACUGGGCGUAAAGGGCGCGUAGGCGGCCACGCACGUCCGUUGUGAAAUCGCCCGGCUCAACUGGGCGGGGUCAGCGGAUACGGUGUGGCUCGAGCAAGCUAGGGGGCAAUGGAAUUCCCGGUGUAGUGGUGGAAUGCGUAGAUAUCGGGAGGAACACCAGUGGCGAAGGCGGUUGCCUGGAGCUUUGCUGACGCUGAGGCGCGAAAGCGUGGGGAGCGAUCCGG
RNAcentral lists this ribosomal RNA (253 nucleotides) under uncultured bacterium. Its description in RNAcentral is "partial 16S ribosomal RNA". It matches the Rfam family "Bacterial small subunit ribosomal RNA", at positions 524 to 776 of the family's 1533-position model. The record is from RNAcentral.